RNAcentral lists this ribosomal RNA (540 nucleotides) under uncultured eukaryote. RNAcentral describes it as "bacterial SSU rRNA". It matches the Rfam family "Eukaryotic small subunit ribosomal RNA", at positions 9 to 561 of the family's 1831-position model. The record is from RNAcentral.
UGAUCCUGCCAGUAGUCAUAUGCUUGUCUCAAAGAUUAAGCCAUGCAUGUCUAAGUUUUAAGCGAUUACACUGUGAGACUGCGGACGGCUCAUUAUAUCAGUUAUAGUUUAUUUGAUGGUCGAUUGCUACAAGGAUAACCGUAGUAAUUCUAGAGCUAAUACUUGCACUUCAAACUAGCUUGCUAGUUGCACUUAUUAGAUUCCACGCCAAUGGUGCUUGCACCUUCGGUGAAUCAUAGUAAUUUAGCGGAUCACGUCUUCGGACUGACGCUUCAUUCAAGUUUCUGCCCUAUCAGCUUUCGAUGGUAGUGUAUUGGACUACCAUGGCGUUAACGGGUGACGGAGAAUUAGGGUUCGAUUCCGGAGAGGGAGCCUGAGAGAUGGCUACCACAUCCAAGGAAGGCAGCAGGCGCGCAAAUUACCCAAUCCUAACUCAGGGAGGUAGUGACAAGAAAUAACAAUAACUGACCUUAUAUAGGUAAGUUAAUUGGAAUGAGUACAAUCUAAACACCUUAACGACUAUCCAUUGGAGGGCAAGUC